Molecule: ribosomal RNA, 506 nt
Filed under: uncultured bacterium
Lineage: Bacteria
Description: partial 16S ribosomal RNA
Rfam family: Bacterial small subunit ribosomal RNA
Source: RNAcentral
AGUGAACGCUGGCGGUAGGCCUAACACAUGCAAGUCGAACGGCAGCACAGGAGAGCUUGCUCUCUGGGUGGCGAGUGGCGGACGGGUGAGGAAUACAUCGGAAUCUACUUUUUCGUGGGGGAUAACGUAGGGAAACUUACGCUAAUACCGCAUACGACCUACGGGUGAAGGCAGGGGAUCUUCGGACCUUGCGCGAUUGAAUGAGCCGAUGUCGGAUUAGCUAGUUGGCGGGGUAAAGGCCCACCAAGGGGACGAUCCGUAGCUGGUCUGAGAGGAUGAUCAGCCACACUGGAACUGAGACACGGUCCAGACUCCUACGGGAGGCAGCAGUGGGGAAUAUUGGACAAUGGGCGCAAGCCUGAUCCAGCCAUACCGCGUGGGUGAAGAAGGCCUUCGGGUUGUAAAGCCCUUUUGUUGGGAAAGAAAUCCAGCUGGUUAAUACCCGGUUGGGAUGACGGUACCCAAAGAAUAAGCACCGGCUAACUUCGUGCCAGCAGCCGCAGUAA